UGGAAAGGGUGCUAUCAGACUGCCUUCCUUU
Molecule: non-coding RNA, 31 nt
Filed under: Rattus norvegicus (Norway rat)
Lineage: Eukaryota; Metazoa; Chordata; Mammalia; Rodentia; Muridae
Source: RNAcentral